AAUAUUGCACAAUGGAGGGAACUCUGAUGCAGCAACGCCGCGCGAGUGAAGAAGGUUCNCGGGUCNUNAAACGCUGUCAUGGGGGNCGAAUAAAUGACGGUACCCAAUGAGGAAGCCACGGCUAACUACGUGCCAGCAGCCGCGGUAAUACGUAGGGGGCGACCGUUGUCCGGAAUUACUGGGCGUAAAGGGUACGUAGUCGGCUAUAUAAGAAAGGUGAGAAAUACCAGUGCUUAACACUGGAAGUGCAUUUGCAACUGUGUAGCAUGAGUGCAGGAGAGGAAAGUGGAAUUCCUAGUGUAGCAGUGAAAUGCGUAGAGAUUAGGAGGAACACCAGUGGCGAAGGCGACUUUCUGGAAUGUAACUGACGCUGAGGUACGAAAGCGUGGGUAGCGAACA
This 399-nucleotide ribosomal RNA is filed under the name uncultured bacterium. RNAcentral describes it as "partial 16S ribosomal RNA". It matches the Rfam family "Bacterial small subunit ribosomal RNA", at positions 360 to 774 of the family's 1533-position model. The record is from RNAcentral.